RNAcentral lists this long non-coding RNA (585 nucleotides) under Cicer arietinum (chickpea). RNAcentral describes it as "long non-coding RNA (CARI_LNC001744)". Lineage: Eukaryota; Viridiplantae; Streptophyta; Magnoliopsida; Fabales; Fabaceae. The record is from RNAcentral.
CUAAUUAAAACCAAUAUUCUUCACGAAGGAAAUAAUUUGAAAUUGUUGUGAUAUAAUUAUGGAGGGUAUUCUGCCUAUGGUUUUCAGAAUAAUCAAGAAACACAAAAAUCGUAGAAAGUAUCAUUGUCUUUCAUCUGGUGCUGCAAUACGUUACAAAACCGAAUUAUACAAUGAUGAAGAAGCAGCUUCUAGAAGAAUUAAUGAUGAUUAUAUAGACAAAAUCGAUUAUCGACGAUAUAGUUUUGCUACAGAGUCCUCUGUUAAUGGAUUUCCUUUUCCUCAGCAUUCUGUUGAUGACUCUCCUAAUUCAAAGAAACUCGUCAAUUAUAAAGUAGGUCCAUGCAUUACUGGUUUAGAUUCGCGAGGUGCAUCUUCUUCCUCUGUAUAUUAAUUAAUUCAUGUCCAAUUCGUAUAAUUUGUAAUUGUAACAAACAGUUACAUAAUUAUGUGGCUUUAAUCCAAAUCGUGUUUUGAAAUUUAUUAAAUCUAGUUCCGUGCCAUUAUUGAUGAAUCAUGGAUUGUAUUAAAUUAUGUGCAAACUAUUUUUAUUUUUAUUUUACAUAGAUUAUGUGCAAACUAGAUUCA